This 390-nucleotide unclassified non-coding RNA is filed under the name soil metagenome. Its description in RNAcentral is "partial contains 5.8S ribosomal RNA, internal transcribed spacer 2, and large subunit ribosomal RNA". The stretch from base 1 to 122 matches the Rfam family "5.8S ribosomal RNA", at positions 35 to 154 of the family's 154-position model. The record is from RNAcentral.
GAUGAAGAACGCAGCGAAAUGCGAUACUUGGUGUGAAUUGCAGAAUCCCGUGAACCAUCGAGUCUUUGAACGCAAGUUGCGCCCGAAGCCAUUAGGCCGAGGGCACGCCUGCCUGGGCGUCACACGUCGUUGCCCCCCCAUCUACUCCUUCGGGAUUGCGGGGGGCGGAUGAUGGCCUCCCGUGCGCCUCGCCGCGCGGUUGGCAUAAAUGCCAAGUCCUCGGCGACGCACGCCACGACAAUCGGUGGUUGCGAAACCUCGGUUGCCCGUCGUGUGCGGUCGUCGCGCAUCGAGGGCUCGAAAAAUUGCCGGGUUCCGGCUCGGCUUUCAACGCGACCCCAGGUCAGGCGGGGUUACCCGCUGAAUUUAAGCAUAUCAAUAAGCGGAGGA